AGUAACACAUCGGAACGUAUCCUGUUGUGGGGGAUAACUAGUCGAAAGAUUAGCUAAUACCGCAUGACCUCGGGAGAGAAAAGCAGGGGACCGGAAACGGCCUUGCGCGAUUGGAGCGGCCGAUGUCCGAUUAGCUAGUUGGUGGGGUAAAGGCCUACCAAGGCGACGAUCGGUAGCUGGUCUGAGAGGAUGAUCAGCCACACUGGGACUGAGACACGGCCCAG
This 224-nucleotide ribosomal RNA is filed under the name uncultured bacterium. Its description in RNAcentral is "partial 16S ribosomal RNA". It matches the Rfam family "Bacterial small subunit ribosomal RNA", at positions 109 to 334 of the family's 1533-position model. The record is from RNAcentral.